GAGUUUGAUCCUGGCUCAGAUUGAACGCUGGCGGCAUGCCUUACACAUGCAAGUCGAACGGCAGCACGGGUGCUUGCACCUGGUGGCGAGUGGCGAACGGGUGAGUAAUACAUCGGAACAUGUCCUGUAGUGGGGGAUAGCCCGGCGAAAGCCGGAUUAAUACCGCAUACGAUCUGAGGAUGAAAGCGGGGGACCUUCGGGCCUCGCGCUAUAGGGUUGGCCGAUGGCUGAUUAGCUAGUUGGUGGGGUAAAGGCCUACCAAGGCGACGAUCAGUAGCUGGUCUGAGAGGACGACCAGCCACACUGGGACUGAGACACGGCCCAGACUCCUACGGGAGGCAGCAGUGGGGAAUUUUGGACAAUGGGCGAAAGCCUGAUCCAGCAAUGCCGCGUGUGUGAAGAAGGCCUUCGGGUUGUAAAGCACUUUUGUCCGGAAAGAAAUCCUUGGUUCUAAUAUAGCCGGGGGAUGACGGUACCGGAAGAAUAAGCACCGGCUAACUACGUGCCAGCAGCCGCGGUAAUACGUAGGGUGCAAGCGUUAAUCGGAAUUACUGGGCGUAAAGCGUGCGCAGGCGGUUUGCUAAGACCGAUGUGAAAUCCCCGGGCUCAACCUGGGAACUGCAUUGGUGACUGGCAGGCUAGAGUAUGGCAGAGGGGGUAGAAUUUCCACGUGUAGCAGUGAAA
This 684-nucleotide ribosomal RNA is filed under the name uncultured Burkholderia sp. RNAcentral describes it as "bacterial SSU rRNA". It matches the Rfam family "Bacterial small subunit ribosomal RNA", at positions 9 to 686 of the family's 1533-position model. Lineage: Bacteria; Pseudomonadati; Pseudomonadota; Betaproteobacteria; Burkholderiales; Burkholderiaceae. The record is from RNAcentral.